UGCCCAUGGACUGUCCUCUUCC
Molecule: microRNA, 22 nt
Filed under: Ovis aries (sheep)
Lineage: Eukaryota; Metazoa; Chordata; Mammalia; Artiodactyla; Bovidae
Description: miRNA 22
Source: RNAcentral